This 211-nucleotide ribosomal RNA is filed under the name uncultured bacterium. RNAcentral describes it as "partial 16S ribosomal RNA". It matches the Rfam family "Bacterial small subunit ribosomal RNA", at positions 137 to 334 of the family's 1533-position model. The record is from RNAcentral.
CUUGGGAUAACAUUGCGAAAGCGGUGCUAAUACCGAAUAAGACCACGGCAUCACAUGAUGCAGUGGGAAAAGGUGGCCUCUGUAUAUGCUAUCACUUGGAGAUAAGCUCGCGGACCAUUAGCUUGUUGGUAGGGUAACGGCCUACCAAGGCCAAGAUGGUUAGCUGGUCUGAGAGGAUGAUCAGCCACACUGGAACUGAGACACGGUCCAG